Molecule: transfer RNA, 72 nt
Filed under: Siphoviridae sp. ctlXU33
Lineage: Duplodnaviria; Heunggongvirae; Uroviricota; Caudoviricetes
Also listed under: 1 other name
Description: tRNA-Lys
Source: RNAcentral
ACAAGGCUUAAAGGUACUUUAAAGUACUGACUUUUAAUCAAGUUGUCCCGGGUUCGAGUCCCGGGUGUCUCA